GACGAACGCUGGCGGCGUGCUUAACACAUGCAAGUCGAACGGAAAGGCCCUGCUUUUGUGGGGUGCUCGAGUGGCGAACGGGUGAGUAACACGUCAGUAACCUGCCCUUGACCUUGGGAUAACUUCAGGAAACUGGGGCUAAUACCGGAUAGGAGCUCCUGCUGCUUGGUGGGGGUUGGAAAGUUUCGGCGGUUGGGGAUGGACUCGCGGCUUAUCAGCUUGUUGGUGGGGUAGUGGCUUACCAAGGCUUUGACGGGUAGCCGGCCUGAGAGGGUGACCGGCCACAUUGGGACUGAGAUACGGCCCAGACUCCUACGGGAGGGCGCAGUGGGGAAUAUUGCGAAAUGGGCGGAAGCCUGAUGCAGCAACGCCGCGUGCGGGAUGACGGCCUUCGGGUUGUAAACCACUUUCGCCUGUGACGAAGCGUGAGUGACGGUAAUGGGUAAAGAAGCACCGGCUAACUACGUG
Molecule: ribosomal RNA, 468 nt
Filed under: uncultured bacterium
Lineage: Bacteria
Description: partial 16S ribosomal RNA
Rfam family: Bacterial small subunit ribosomal RNA
Source: RNAcentral